UACAGAGGUCCCAAGCGUUGUUCGGAUUCAUUGGGCGUAAAGGGUGCGUAGGCGGCGCGGUAAGUCGGGUGUGAAAUCUCGGGGCUUAACUCCGAAACUGCAUUCGAUACUGCCGUGCUUGAGGACUGGAGAGGAGACUGGAAUUUACGGUGUAGCGGUGAAAUGCGUAGAUAUCGGGAGGAACACCGGUGGCGAAGGCGGCAUCCUGGACCAAUUCUGACGCUGAGUGAGCGAAAGCCAGGGGAGCAAACGGG
This 254-nucleotide ribosomal RNA is filed under the name uncultured bacterium. Its description in RNAcentral is "partial 16S ribosomal RNA". It matches the Rfam family "Bacterial small subunit ribosomal RNA", at positions 524 to 776 of the family's 1533-position model. The record is from RNAcentral.